Molecule: RNA transcript, 7534 nt
Organism: Pleuronectes platessa (European plaice)
Lineage: Eukaryota; Metazoa; Chordata; Actinopteri; Pleuronectiformes; Pleuronectidae
Exons: 2
Source: RefSeq, a predicted model, not a curated record
UAAGUUCAUGAAUGAAAAGGUUAAAAUGUAACUGAUACAGGCAGUAUUUGUAUUAUUCGCUUCUUGAGGCGGAACUAAUGUGCUUUGUUCGUAGCCCCGGGGGCCAAGAUCACUGUGACACUGCAAACGGCAGGUGCACGGUGCGCGUUUUGUCACCGAAGCUAUAAAACUUGUAAUGCACAUCAAAACCUCUUUUUACGGCAAGCGGCCAACGAGGUAUGUUUAUAUUAAUGUCGACACUGAGCGUCAUUUUGUGUUCGCUAUAUGUGUAUAAUGUGCUGCGAUAUGUAUGGAAAUGUUUUGUACUGUGUUUUUACAUACUUUCAGUUCUCACGGCGUAACGUGUAAAGCGUGAUGGUGUUGAUAAGAUGGAGAGGGAGAGAGGAGACAUGCCACCGCAAUAAACGCCCGUUCAAAGGAACCGACCUGUGUCUUGUGUCGUCGUAAGAGGAGCUACAGUGAGAACUCGACUGCUCGGCGCGGGUAGGCGAGACGACGAGACCGCAGCUGUGUGACGACGUGACGGGAUCACUCGGCAUCGCAGCAGAGCGGAAAAGCAACGCACUUCAAUCACUGUCGCCAUAGCGGCGGCAAUAUAUGGAAGGUAAACUGUGUCACAUGCGCAAGUUUCAAGGCAAAGCCAAGAGGUGCUCCACCAUCACCUUCAAGUGAAAGCGGUGUGAGAAGUGGCUCAACUAACUUAAAAAGGACUCAGUUCUGUACAUAAUGUGUGUUGAUGUGUGUUACUCCUCUUAAGCAGCUUAUUGUAUAAGUGCUAAGUGAAUGGGAAAGUAAUACUUGUAAAUUUUGAUUUAUGAAAAUAGCAGUGUUUAAAGGGUGACUGAAGUGAAAUUUAAAGGGCCAGUCCACUAAUGUGAAAACCUUUUCUUGUGUGAAGUACAAGUAUAUUUGAGAUUUUUGUUGCAUUUUUACAAAGGUAUUUGUUUUGCUUUUAAAUUUGAGUGAAGUGAAAAUACUAUUUUAUUUAAUGCAAUAUGAAAGUCCAUAUUCAGACCUGCAUGGCUACUUUACUGAAAGCCUUCUGUAGCUUACAUUUAUACAUAGCCUAAUCUAAUCCAUUUGAAGCUCAAUAGCUACACACAUCCCAUAGCCAUUCAAGUCAUCUCAAAAUGUCUUACAAAAGUUCAGAGACCUGCCACAAGAAUGCCGAAUCACCUGCUCAACAUGAAGCUACAGACCCUGACUUCCCAGAAGAGGAGAAAAGCCUACGAAGAAGCGAAAGAACAAGAACCUUAACAGAAAAGGGUAGAGAACUUCAAGAGGAAAGGCUAAAGGGUAUCCAACGUCGAUAUAGAGUAAUCUAUGAGAGGUGGAGGUGUCAGGCAAGAAUAGGCAAGGAUAUAUUGACUGAUGAGGCAUCCAAGGAUGAAUUGGGUGAGCUUAUUGAUAACAUACAAAGCACAUGCACAAAGGUAAAGAACAUUUAUGAAGAGUUGCGGGAAAUACAAACUCCUGAGCCAGACCUGCGGCGCAGAGUUGACACGUGCGUAUCGCUUUCAGGAUUUAUGAUUGAAAAGGCAGAAAGGCAGCUUAAAGGGCAUACAGCAGAGGAAGAAGAACCCUGGCCUGAUGUUGGAUCUGUACUCGACUCAACAGGCUCCUUAUCAAGACCACUAUCUCAAAGAUCGAAACGUGGCUCCAACUACACCAGUGUCUGCUCAGUAAAAAGGUAUGAGGCUGCAGCUGAAGCUGCUGCAUCCCGGGAAGUUUUGGCGGUUUUGGAGGAACAAGAAAGGGAAACAACAGAGCUUCGGAGGCUAGAAACUGAGAAUCUAGCCACACAACAAGCAAUGCAAGACAGGCGUAAAAGAAUCGAAAGGUUAGAAGAAGUUAAGAAGUUUAACGCUGCUAGAGCAAGAGUGAAGGUCUAUGAACAAAUUGAAGAAAGGUCUGAAGCAAGCAACUCCCUAAAUGAAGCAUUACGAUUAGGAAAAACUCAAGGUCUUCACACUUAUGCCCCAAACCCCCCAUUCAUUCCUCAAGCUCCACCUACUUCAAUGCCCAUGCCUCAAGCGCAGAACAGCUCAGACUUGGUCAACAUGCUAGCAGAAGCUAUAAGUGCCAAUCGUCUUCCAACACCAGAGCCUGCAUUAUUCAUUGGAGAUCCCUUAAAAUACAAGGACUGGAAACUCUCCUUUGAAACAUUGAUAAACAGGAAAAACAUCCCAAAGAACGAAAAACUGUACUACCUAAGAAAGUACUUGGGUGGUGCUGCGAAGAAAGCUGUUGAAGGAUUCUUCCUACUGGGCACUGAAGUAGCAUACGACUCAGCCUGGCAACUGUUGGAUAAACGUUUUGGAGACCCAUUCAUUAUUGGGAAGUCCUACAGAGACAAGCUAAGUGCAUGGCCAAAAAUAAGCUCUAAAGAAGGUUUCGAGCUAAGAGAAUUUGCAGACUUCCUCGAGAGCUGUCAAGCCGCAAUGCCCCAUGUCAAGACAUUGGAAGUUCUCAAUGACUGCAACGAGAGUCAAAAAAUUCUCCUUAAAUUGCCAGAUUGGCUGGCAUCCAGUUGGAACCGCAAGGCAAUGGAAUACAGACAAGCAAAUGCUGAGUACCCUCCAUUCAAAGUAUUGGUAAACUUCCUGUCAAAGGAAGCAGAUCUUGCUUGUGAUCCCAUAUCUUCAAUACAAGCGCUCAAGAGUGUGGAAGGUGAAAAACCAAAGCAUCCAAGAAGCCAAACCAUUCAAGCAAAGACACUGUCCACAAACACAACAGAAAGCAGCAUCUCAGAAUGUGUAUUCUGCAAAAGGAAAGGACAUGUACUCGCCAAGUGCAGAAAGUUUGGUGAAAAGACAGUUCAAGAGCGUAACAAGUUUGUGCAAGUAGAGAAGCUUUGCUUUGGAUGUUUAGGAAGUGGUCAUAUUUCAAGAAAGUGUGACAACAAGAGCAUAUGUGAACGGUGUCAGAAAGGACACCCAACAUGUUUACAUGAUGACAAAUUCAAGGAUCAUCAAUGGUCAAUGACUCCAAAGGUGGACACCAAAGAAAUAGCUGCAACAGCAACUACUAACAGAAUCCUACAAGACGGUUCGAGUACACAGACAUCCUCAAUUGUACCGGUCUGGGUCUCAUCCACAAAACAGCCGAAUCAUGAAGUCCUUGUCUAUGCACUCUUAGACACACAGAGCGACACAACUUUCAUUCUGGAUGAAGUUGCCCAAAACCUCAACACAACCAAAGAGAAUGUAAGUCUGAAGCUAUCCACAAUGUCUACAAGGUCAGCAGUCAUAGCUUGUCAGAAACUAACACAUCUACAAGUGAGAGGAUAUGAUUCGGAGAAGAGGAUUUCAUUGCCACCUCUUUUCACACGAGAGUUCAUUCCAGCAGACAGGUCACACAUUCCAACUUCUGAAACUGCUCAUAAAUGGACUCAUCUGGAGCAAUUGGUAGACAAAAUUCCACCACCAUUGGAUUGCGAAGUUGGCCUCUUGAUUGGCUAUAACUGUCACCAAGCCCUUCUCCCAAGAGAGAUUCUGUCUGGAAAAGAGAAUCAGCCAUACGGACAGUUAACAGACCUGGGCUGGAGCAUUGUUGGCUGCUCCAAUCAAGCAAGUGACCACGGUGAUUCAAUAGGAACCAGUCACAAAAUGAUGGUACGGCAAGUGACCCCUGAUGCACAGCCGUCUGCUAGGCUAAAGAGGGAGGUGCACUUUGUGUGCAGAACACAUGUUAAAGUGAUCAAUCCAACAGACAUUAUCAAAGCUCUCGAAUCUGAUUUCACAGAGCGUACCACAGAUGGUAAUCCAAUCUCGCAGGAAGACCUCCUCUUCUUGUCAAAAGUGAAAGAAGGUGUAAAGCAGAAGGAAAAUGGUCACUAUGAACUCCCACUUCCUUUCAAAACAGACAAGCCCAAUCUUCCAGACAACAAACAGUGUGCAGUUCACAGGCUCAUGUCAUUAGAGCGACGACUAAGGAAAAACGAGCAGUAUUGCAAGGAUUAUGUCCAGUUCAUGAACGACAUAAUCGAACGAGGAGAUGCUGAGAAAGUUCCACAGUCCGAACUCAAUGACCAACCAGCAUGGUAUAUCCCGCAUCACGGUGUCUACCACCCCCACAAACCCGGGAAGAUCCGUGUGGUUUUCGACUGUUCUGCACGGUUUCAGGAAACCUCUCUAAAUGACCAUCUCUUGACUGGACCAGACUUGACUAACACCUUAGUUGGAGUGCUUUGUCGAUUCAGAAAGGGUCCAAUAGCCAUAAUGUGUGAUGUCGAGAGAAUGUUUCACCAAUUUCACGUUGCAAAGGAACAUCAAGACUACCUCAGAUUCCUCUGGUGGGAUAAAGGCAAUCUUGACACAAAACCCUCAGUGUACAGGAUGAGAGUACACCUGUUUGGGGCAGCCUCAUCCCCUGGCUGCUCCAACUUUGGCCUCAAACAUCUGGCAUCGCAGGGUCAUGGAAAGUUCAGCGAAGAGUCCAUCAAGUUCAUACAGAGAAGCUUUUACGUUGACGAUGGCUUAACAGGUGUAGAGUCAGCGGCGGAAGCCAUACAUCUGGUGGAAGAGUCAAGAGCUUUAUGCAGAACAGGAAACCUACGGCUGCAUAAAUUUGUGUCCAAUGACAAGGAAGUAGUGGAAGCAAUACCACUUGAGGAACGUGCGCAAACCAAGGAUCAAGACAUGGCUCUUGGAGAACCAUAUAUAGAACGAGCACUCGGAGUUCAGUGGUGCGUCGAAGCGGAUUAUUUCCAGUUUAGAGUUGUGGUUAAGGAAAAUCCACUGACAAGGAGAGGUGUUCUUUCGACUGUUGCCUCCAUCUAUGAUCCAUUAGGGUUUGUGGCCCCCUUCAUCCUAGUCGGCAAACAGAUUCUUCAGGCGCUAUGCAAAGACAAAGUAGGCUGGGAUGAAGAUCUCCCUGAACACAUUCUUCCGCAAUGGGAGGAAUGGCUAAGAGAUUUGCCUCAGUUGGCAGCGCUGAAGAUUCCAAGGAGCUACCUCCCAUCAAACUUCGGGAAGGUCAUAAGAUAUGAGCUUCACAGCUUUUCAGAUGCAAGUUUUCAAGGCUAUGGUGCAUGCUCGUAUCUUCGAGCAAUAAGUGAACUGGGACACAUCAGUUGCUCUCUUGUCAUUGGGAAGGCAAGAGUAGCUCCUGUCAAACUAACGACCAUUCCAAGACUUGAGUUAUCUUCAGCUGUGACAUCCGUCCGCAACGCAGACCUCAUCAAGGGUGAACUUGAGAUUGAAGGCCUGCAAGAGUAUUACUGGACUGACUCACAGGUGGUCCUCGGCUACGUGAACAACGACGCCAAGAGGUUCCACACAUUUGUAGCCAACAGAAUCCAACGCAUACGAUCCAGCACAAGCCCUGAACAGUGGCGACAUGUCAGGUCUGAAAGCAAUCCAGCCGACCAUGCCUCCAGAGGGUUGAGUGCAGUUCAGCUGAAGGAGUCUAAUUGGCUUAAAGGACCCAACUUCCUUUGGCAGCAAAUUCCGCCAUGUGAAGAAGAGAAAGUAGAAGUAGAAACGACAGACCCAGAGCUUCGCAAAGCCUAUGCUCAUGCAGCUAAGACAGAGGAGGCGAAUGCAAUGGCAAACCGCUUCACUAAGUUUUCUGACUGGAACAGAGCUGUGAGAGCCAUCGCCAGGCUCAAGAGAUAUGUCAGAGAAUUCAAAGGACUUCAACCAAGAACUAAUGAAACAACCAAUCUCGAAGAAAGAAGAGAAGCGGAAGUUUUCAUUAUCAAGCUGACGCAAGAAGAAGCCUUUGCUGGCGACAUUCAAAGAAUCAGGUUCCAGAAAGGAGACAUUCGGAGCAAGCACAACAAGUUGCACAGGUUGAAUGCCUUCCUGGACAAAAACAAUGUUCUCAGGGUGGGAGGACGGUUGUCAAAAUCAGCCUUACACCACGACAUAAAACAUCCUGCAAUUCUUCCACGAAAAUCUCAUGUGUCAGCCCUCCUCAUCAAACAUUAUCAUGAGCGAGUAUUCCAUCAAGGAAGAGGCAUGACCAUGAACGAAUUGCGUGCAAAUGGAAUAUGGGUCUUGGGAUGUGGGAAUGUGGUCUCCUCACACAUUUAUAAGUGUGUAAAAUGUAGGAGAUACAGAAGAUCUACAGAGGUGCAACAAAUGGCAGAUCUGCCGCAAGAAAGGGCUGAAGAAUCCCCCCCCUUUACUUACUGUGGUCUUGACUGUUUCGGCCCCUUUAUCGUAAAGGAAGGAAGAAAGGAAUUAAAACGCUAUGGGUUGCUGUUUACCUGCUUAUGUUCGAGAGCAGUACACAUAGAAACACUCGAUGACUUGACAACAGACGCAUUCAUGAAUGCACUUCGAACAGUUAUGGCUAUCAGAGGACCUGUGCGCCAAAUAAGAUGUGAUCAGGGAACAAACUUCAUGGGCGCUAGGAGAGUCCUUUCUGAGUUGCUCAAAGGAAUAGAUCCUGAACGUCAGCGAGCAUUCGGCUGUGAAUUUGUGCUGAACGUCCCAUCAGCUAGCCACAUGGGUGGGGUCUGGGAGCGUCAGAUUCGGACAGUCCGAAGCAUCUUGAUGGUUAUGCUUGACCAAGCCGCAAGCAGACUCGACACCACAACUUUGAGAACGUUUCUUUACGAAACGAUGGCUAUAAUCAAUAGCAGGCCACUAAGUGUUGAGCAUCUUAAUGAUCCUACUGGUCCGGAGCCCCUCACUCCAAACCACAUACUGACCAUGAAAUCCUCAAUCAUUCUGCCGCCUCCAGGACAGUUUUGCAAGGAAGACCUGUACCUGUGCAAAAGGUGGAGAAAGGUGCAGUUCUUAGCCAAUGAGUUUUGGCAAAGAUGGAAGCGAGAAUACCUGCUGAACCUCCAACAACGACGGAAAUGGCAAAAAAUAUCAAGGAACUCGCAAAUAGAUGACAUUGUGAUCCUUCAAGAAGAUGGCUCACCAAGGAAUGAAUGGAAGCUUGCUAAAGUUGUGGAAGUGUAUCCCAGUGCAGAUGGCAUGGUACGGAAACUGAAACUUCUAGUUAGCGACACUACAUUUGACAAAGGCAAACCACUCACUAGAUCAGUUCAUCUUGAGAGGCCUAUACACAAGGUAGUCACCUUACUUGAGGCCAGCUCAAUCACAUAAGGUCACUUUCAAUGAUGCUUAAGAACAUUUUUUUUGUUUAUUCCACUUAUAUUUUGUUGUACCGGAAAAUCCCACAUUUAGGUGGAUGAGUGAUUUGGUGGGAGUGUAAGUGCCGGUAUUUAAGUUCAUGAAUGAAAAGGUUAAAAUGUAACUGAUACAGGCAGUAUUUGUAUUAUUCGCUUCUUGAGGCGGAACUAAUGUGCUUUGUUCGUAGCCCCGGGGGCCAAGAUCACUGUGACACUGCAAACGGCAGGUGCACGGUGCGCGUUUUGUCACCGAAGCUAUAAAACUUGUAAUGCACAUCAAAACCUCUUUUUACGGCAAGCGGCCAACGAGUUCUCACGGCGUAACGUGUAAAGCGUGAUGGUGUUGAUAAGAUGGAGAGGGAGAGAGGAGACAUGCCACCGCAAUAAACGCCCGUUCAAAGGAACCGACCUGUGUCUUGUGUCGUCGUAAGAGGAGCUACA